CCUGGAGACUCCUACGGGAGGCAGCAGUGAGGAAUAUUGGUCAAUGGACGGAAGUCUGAACCAGCCAAGUAGCGUGCAGGAUGACGGCCCUAUGGGUUGUAAACUGCUUUUGUAUGGGGAUAAAGUCAAUCACGUGUGAUUGUUUGCAGGUACCAUACGAAUAAGGACCGGCUAAUUCCGUGCCAGCAGCCGCGGUAAUACGGAAGGUUCGGGCGUUAUCCGGAUUUAUUGGGUUUAAAGGGAGCGUAGGCCGGAGAUUAAGUGUGUUGUGAAAUGUAGACGCUCAACGUCUGACUUGCAGCGCAUACUGUUUUCCUUGAGUACGCACAACGUUGGCGGAAUUCGUCGUGUAGCGGUGAAAUGCUUAGAUAUGACGAAGAACUCCGAUUGCGAAGGCAGCUGACGGGAGCGCAACUGACGCUGAAGCUCGAAGGUGCGGGUAUCGAACAGGAUUAGAAACCCUUGUAGUCCAGAAGUG
This 478-nucleotide ribosomal RNA is filed under the name uncultured bacterium. RNAcentral describes it as "bacterial SSU rRNA". It matches the Rfam family "Bacterial small subunit ribosomal RNA", at positions 328 to 804 of the family's 1533-position model. The record is from RNAcentral.